This 253-nucleotide ribosomal RNA is filed under the name uncultured bacterium. RNAcentral describes it as "partial 16S ribosomal RNA". It matches the Rfam family "Bacterial small subunit ribosomal RNA", at positions 524 to 776 of the family's 1533-position model. The record is from RNAcentral.
UACGUAGGGUGCGAGCGUUAAUCGGAAUUACUGGGCGUAAAGUGUGCGCAGGCGGCCGAGCAAGUCGAGUGUGAAAGCCCCGAGCUUAACCUGGGAACUGCACUUGAAACUACGAUGCUGGAGUAUGGCAGAGGGAGGUGGAAUUCCACGUGUAGCGGUGAAAUGCAUAGAGAUGUCAUAGAACACCGAUUGCGAAGGCAGCUAACGAAACUAUAACUGACACUGAGGCUCGAAAGUGCGGGGAUCAAACAGG